UUGAAUUUCCGGUAAUCGUACUACCAGUAACUUGAUAGCAGAUUAACGUAACGUAUUAGUGUAACGCACGCCCUAGUAAAUAGUAAGAAAGAGAGAAGGGCUGAAACAAGGCAAGUUUAUCGUUACAUGUGCACCAGCGGUUGAUGGGACCAGUGCUAAUGAGUUUUAGAGGAACGCAGUCUGAAUGUCAACGUGACGAGUGCUGGCAAUCAGAAUCUGGAAUCAAAUGAAAACAAAUCAAAUAUUCAAGGAGCACAAUGCUUUGUGUUAUGGUGAGCAAGGCUUUUGAAAAACUUUUCUGUAUCUGGAGCGGAAUCCCAGGUUCCACUAUCAAGGUUAAAUGGAAUGUUCUGCAAAGUUCUGGAGAAAGAAAAUGGAGUUCCUGAUAAAGAAAAAGGACGAAUAGGACAUUUCCCCUCUGUGGUACGCCAGAAAGUUCGUUUAGAGCGAGGCGGAAAGCGAACCUAUGUAUAAUAUAAAUAAAAAUAGAAUGCUGCAUUUCAAUGAAACUGUCAUGAAUCUGUCAAAGUCUAUUGUUUGAAAGCGGAUAUUUACCAGAGAGGUCACGGUUGUAGAGCUAACUGGUCCCAUCAACCACUGGUCCACAUACAUUUAAAGUAUGGCUUACAAAUAUCAUUGUUUUGUGUGUCACAGAUUAAUAUUCCCUAUAAAUAAGACAUGCUGUCGGCAAGUUUAUUUGUCAUGUGAUCGUUUGGUGCUGUAUUUGCUGGUAAUAAACCCUGGCGAAUUAUUUUAA
Molecule: long non-coding RNA, 757 nt
Organism: Actinia tenebrosa (Australian red waratah sea anemone)
Lineage: Eukaryota; Metazoa; Cnidaria; Anthozoa; Actiniaria; Actiniidae
Source: RefSeq, a predicted model, not a curated record